GUAGUAUAAGAUUUCAGUGAAAUUGCUUCUAUGUAAUCUGGAUUGUUAUCGUUUUGUUUGUUGAGACAAUGGCAUUGAAGGAUGCAGGAGCUUGUAUUGUAGGGUGAAGGGGUGUUACCGCAUUAAUAGCUAGUACAAAAAGAGGGUCUACUGAAGGGAUGUGUGAAGCAAGGUAAUCAUUUAAAAAAAUACUAAUACUCCCAAGAAAACAUAUUAAUCAUUCAGCCAUUGAUAUGCACCAACAAAAAUUUUGGAAAGUUGGCACCCUUGGUUGUAAACUGUCUAUGAAGUCUAAAUGACAAAUGCAAUGAUGCUUUGUCUGGUGACUGACAAAAUGUGUAUGUCAUUGGUUUGUGGUCCACAAUGAGAAUGAAUUGUCUACCUGUGAGCACGUGUCUGAAUUUCUUGAUGGAAAAAAUAUUCUGCAUACAGUUCAUGGUCAUAGGUAGACUAGUUCUGCUAUGAAGGAGAUAGCUUUUUUCUGUAGAAUGCUAAAGGCUGCCACUGAAUGUCUGUCUGCUGUUUUAGUGCAGCAUCUAUUACUGUUGCUGACAGAUCAACUGUUACCACCAACAGUGCUUGCAGAACAGGGUGCACCGACAGAGCGGCCUCAGCAAUAGCCAUCUUGCUGAAAGCUGUCUCGGCUUCACUACUCCACAGCAGUCUGGCGCUUAACUGAGCAACCCUCAUAGAAGAUCAUUCAGAGGAGCAGCUAACAAUGCAUUGUUCCAUACACAAUGAUGGUAGAAAUUGGUGACACCUAGAAAUCACCACAAUUUACAAACAGUCAAUGGUCGUGGAUAAUUAACCAUUGGGUCUACCUUGUCUUGAGGUGGUUGAAUUGUGAGGGCAUUGACUGUGUAGCCAAGGAAGUGGAAUUCUGAACCUUCAUCCGUGAAAUAUUGGAAUGUUUGUGAGGCAUUGUCCAAUACAAAAGGCAUUCUUGUAAACUCAAAGAGGCAAAAUGGAGUGGUGCGAGCAGUUUUAGCAAUCUCUUCUAGCACUACUGGUACUUUAUAAUAUGCACACAUGAAGUCUAAGGUGGAGAAUACGUGCUUACCAUAAAUUUAAAGUCCUCAAUGUGCAGUACGGUGUAGUGGUCUGGGAUUGUCCUUGCAAUUAGCUGUUGUUUUUCAUCGCCAAGACACCAUCCAUUGUUCUUCUUAGGCACUGUAUGCAGCGGUGAGGCCCAGUUGCUGCUUAAUGGUCGGAAUAUGUCCUGUUCAAGCAUGAAAGAGAAUUAUUACUUAGUUACUUUUAGAUUCUUGGUUGGCAGGUGGUGCAGUCAAGCAUGGAUUGGCAGUCUGGGUGUUGUGAUGAUGUAAUACACUGUCAAAUGGCAUACUGAUGCUAGUGUUGGUCACUAUUUGAUGAUCUUCAGGAACUGUUUAAGAAGUUCCAAGUAGGGAGAGUCAGUCAUGAUCAUCCUAAUGGCAGGACCAUCCAGACAAUGUACACUUACUCGAGUGGCCAGAUUAGUGCUGGUAUCUAGCAGUCAACAAUGUCUGAGGUUAUGUAGCAAGUGAUAAAAUGACAGAAAGUCUCCAGCUAUUAUGGGAUGUGUCACAUUCGCUACUAUAAAUUGUCACUCAAACUUAUGACAUAGGCCUAGAUUUAGUGUACGUGUCACACGCCCAUAUGAUUUUAUUGUAGAUCUGUUGGCAGCAAACAGGUGACCACCAUCACAUUUAUGAUGAGAAACAGGAGUAGAUGUAUAAACAGACAUUUCUGCGCCGGUAUCCAUCAGGAACUGGAGAUUGGUGUAGAUACUGGUGACAAACAAUCGACAACUGCUCUUUAGAUGGCUAGUCGCCAUCAUCACUGAUUUCCUGUCAUGUUCCCAUCUCACAUGGCGUAAUGUAUCUCUUGUCUUUGACAUCCAAACCUUCUGUGGUACCAGCAGAUCUUUUGUGAUGAAGGUGAUCAGCUGGGUUCACCCUGUGAUUGACUACUUGAAUGUCAUGUUCGUAGUGCAGAGUCUAGCACAGUGACCUCCACGAUCUGUAUCUGUAGUGAUCCUACAACAGAAUUGUGUGAUGGGUUAACAAUUGCUACUGUUGCCAACGGGCCUGUCUCAAUGAUACAGUCAGCAGUCUAUGCUAAUGUGUCAAGGUCUCUGGUGCAUACUGUAAGGAUCUUCUGUGUGACUUGAGGUAGAUGUGGAAGCUAGAUGUUCCUUAGAAUGUCUUCAUUGACAGCAUUGCUCGCUAUUGUUAAUAACAGGUGCAGCAGCUGUGAGAGAUUGCAAUCUCCUGCGAGGCAAUGCAAUCUCCUAAUUCAUGUGUUAGCAGCAACUACUCAAGUUGUUUUGCCUCAGACUCCGACAGACACGUGACCAUAGCAUUCUUCAAAGUCCUGUAUCAGUCAGAGAUCAGUGUUAAGGCCAAAAUAUUGUACAAUUCAUUAGCAAUGCCUUCAUUAAGAGCGGCGACGACAUAACAGUAGUUAGUUUUAUCAGCUCUUAGGUUGGUGAGCAUGUAUUGACUCUCGAUUUGUGCAAACCAUUCAACGGGGUUUGACAGUGACUUGAUUAACUGAAGCAUUCAGGGGCACAUUGACAGAUGGUGGCAGGUCUGACAUUGCUAUAUGUCAAUACGUGGAUGGUGCACGGCAUGGCUGAUGCAGUAGAUUGCCUCUUGACUUUCAAAGUAUGUCAGCAAUGCAGUAUGUGGAUGACACAUGGUUAAUUUGUGCUUGAUGUUCAGAGCAACAUGACAUGGAUACUAUGUUAGUUGACUUUGACUCUCACCUAUGAUUAUGUCAGGGCCACCAAAAAUGAUGCGACUCAUGAGAACUUAACUUUAAGGCAAAAUUUAUUGCUUUGCACGUUGAUACAAUGCAGUCUGAAAAUACAUCAACAUGAAAAAGUAAUAACAGAAUAAUUACAUAAAACUAGAAAUAGACAGUGUCAAAAAGAUUAAGUCAUAGUGUAAUCACUGUAUGAAUUGCACACUUCUUCACCUUGAUACACAACAUUGCACAACCACUACAUAAAGUUAGCAGGGCCUGUACUGUCACCGUUGCCAUUGGCUGUUCCAAACUGUAACAACUUGGCAAUGAUAGGUGGAACAUGGGAGGCAUAUGACGACUCAGCGCAAGUAGACAGACUUCAAGAGAAUUUACAAUUCAGAAACCAGUGAAGACAAAGUGGAUCUGGGUGCACCAUCUGAAAUUCAAGGAUCAAAUGUGCUGUUUGCACUAAAAGUGAUGGGAUUACCAGAUCCUUGGGUGCUAUCAGAAGUGCCCAGGUUUGGAAUGAAUUCUCCAUGUAUACACCAUGACUUAAAUCUGCAGGCUUGAAGUUUACAGCAACUGUUGGAAUGCUUGGAUCAUGCAUGAAUAUACUAGCUUCCAUAAUUGAGAAUAGUGACUAAUAACAGUGAAAUUAAGAGACGAUAUCUAAGUUCGUUCCAUGAAAAGUGGUUGCAGAAUGAAAAUUGUGAAGAGUGGUAACAAAAACUUGACAGUGAUGUGCUUGUAUGGUUCCCUUGGAGAAGUCAGCUGGAGAUAUCCCAAAAUCUAAACCGGAGUCCACAUGCACAAGACAUGCAUUUACCAUCAGGUCGCAGCAGAAAUGGGUAUUGCGAGGCCAAUUAAUAACUGAGUAGGUGAUAACUAUAAUAGCUAAUCUCUUCAGGAAGAAUAAGCCAGAAUAUUAACAGACUGCUCCACUGAUGCUCCACGAUCGAUAUUAGCAUCAUCCAUGGGAGGCCGGUCAACCUCAGCCAUUGGUGAAUAACUAACACUUGGAUCAACACCCUGUAAGAAAACAACAAGCACCCAACUGGAGGACGAAAUCUGAAAAUGCAGAAAUAUUGACUGCAUAUACUGCACUUAUUACUCUUUGCAGCCGAGCUAGUUUUGACAAUCAAUUACAAAAGUUCAGAAGAAGUAACAUCCGCAAAAACAAACACCACAUACAAAUGGGGCAGUCGAUCCUACAGAAUCAAAACAUAUACUAAAUAUUUUGAACCCAAAAUGUUUUACAGAGAAAACUUAAAAAGAGGCAAAUUUUCAAAGCUAUAAAAGGUAGAAAAAAAUUACAUUAUUGCCCCUCAAUACAUGUAGGGAGGAAGUAA
Molecule: long non-coding RNA, 4079 nt
Organism: Schistocerca serialis cubense
Lineage: Eukaryota; Metazoa; Arthropoda; Insecta; Orthoptera; Acrididae
Exons: 5
Source: RefSeq, a predicted model, not a curated record